AGUGAACGCUGGCGUCAGGCCUAACACAUGCAAGUCGAGCGGCAGCGGGCUGUAGCAAUACAGUGCCGGCGAGCGGCGGACGGGUGAGGAAUACAUCGGAAUCUGCCUUGUUGUGGGGGAUAACGUAGGGAAACUUACGCUAAUACCGCAUAAGACCGAAAGGUGAAAGUGGGGACCGCAAGGCCUCACGCGACAAGAUG
RNAcentral lists this ribosomal RNA (200 nucleotides) under uncultured bacterium. Its description in RNAcentral is "partial 16S ribosomal RNA". It matches the Rfam family "Bacterial small subunit ribosomal RNA", at positions 29 to 227 of the family's 1533-position model. The record is from RNAcentral.